Molecule: ribosomal RNA, 440 nt
Filed under: uncultured bacterium
Lineage: Bacteria
Description: partial 16S ribosomal RNA
Rfam family: Bacterial small subunit ribosomal RNA
Source: RNAcentral
CCUACGGGGGGCAGCAGUGGGGAAUAUUGCACAAUGGGGGAAACCCUGAUGCAGCGACGCCGCGUGAGUGAAGAAGGAAUUCGGUAUGUAAAGCGCUAUCAGCAGGGAAGAAAAUGACGGUACCUGAGUAAGAAGCCCCGGCUAACUACGUGCCAGCAGCCGCGGGAAUACGAAGGGGGCAAGCGUGAGCCGGAUUUACUGGGUGAAAAGGGAGCGUAGACGGGUGGGCAAGGCUGGAGUGAAAGGCGGGGGCUCAACCCCCGGACUGCUCUGGAGACUGUACGGCUGGAGUGCAGUAGAGGUAAGUGGAAUUCCUAGUGUAGCGGUGAAAUGCGUAGAUAUUAGGAGGAACACCAGUGGCGAAGGCGGCUUACUGGACUGUAACUGACGUUGAGGCUCGAAAGCGUGGGGAGCAAACAGGAUUAGAUACCCUUGUAGUC